GGCUGGUCCAAAGGUAGUGGGUUAUCAGAAAAACUGUUAGCAUUAGUGUCAUUAAAGUUGGUAAACCCCCCCAGUGCUGGAUUUGACUAGCUUAAA
RNAcentral lists this Y RNA (96 nucleotides) under Erinaceus europaeus (western European hedgehog). It matches the Rfam family "Y RNA". Rfam says of the family: Y RNAs are components of the Ro ribonucleoprotein particle (Ro RNP), in association with Ro60 and La proteins. The Y RNAs and Ro60 and La proteins are well conserved, but the function of the Ro RNP is not known. Lineage: Eukaryota; Metazoa; Chordata; Mammalia; Eulipotyphla; Erinaceidae. The record is from Rfam by way of RNAcentral.